RNAcentral lists this ribosomal RNA (253 nucleotides) under uncultured bacterium. RNAcentral describes it as "partial 16S ribosomal RNA". It matches the Rfam family "Bacterial small subunit ribosomal RNA", at positions 524 to 776 of the family's 1533-position model. The record is from RNAcentral.
UACAGAGGGGGCAAGCGUUGUUCGGAAUUACUGGGCGUAAAGGGCGCGUAGGCGGCCACCUAAGUCAGACGUGAAAUCCCUCGGCUCAACCGGGGAACUGCGUCUGAUACUGGGUGGCUUGAAUUCGGGAGAGGAAUGCGGAAUUCCAGGUGUAGCGGUGAAAUGCGUAGAUAUCUGGAGGAACACCGGUGGCGAAGGCGGCAUUCUGGACCGACAUUGACGCUGAGGCGCGAAAGCUAGGGGAGCAAACGGG